GAUGAACGCUGGCGGCGUGCCUAAUACAUGCAAGUCGAGCGAAGCGGGGACGGGCGAGUAACACGUGGAUAACCUCCUAUAAGAUUGGGAUAACUUCGGGAAACCGGAGCUAAACCGGAUACUUAUUGAUGGAUCCUCGCUGCAUUAGCUAGUUGGUAAGGUAACGGCUUACCAAGGCAACGAUGCAUAGCCGACCUGAGAGGUGAGUCAGCCCAACUGGAGCUGAGACGCGGUCCGGACCCCAACGGGAGGCAGCGUUAGAGAAUGUUCCGCAAUGGGCGGAAGCCUAGCGGGGCACCGCCGAGUGAUUGAAGAAGGUAUUCGGAUCGUAAAACUCUAUUAUUAGGAGAGCGGUAUCUAAUCAGAAAGCCACGGCUAACUACGUGCCAGCAGCCGCGGUAAUAC
This 405-nucleotide ribosomal RNA is filed under the name uncultured bacterium. RNAcentral's name for it is "partial 16S ribosomal RNA". It matches the Rfam family "Bacterial small subunit ribosomal RNA", at positions 28 to 526 of the family's 1533-position model. The record is from RNAcentral.